UACGUAGGUGGCAAGCGUUGUCCGGCUUUACUGGGCGUAAAGAGCGCGCAGGCGGUCGUUCAAGUCGCGUGUGAAAGCCCCCGGCUCAACUGGGGAGGGUCACGCGAUACUGAUCGACUCGAAGGCAGGAGAGGGAAGUGGAAUUCCCGGUGUAGUGGUGAAAUGCGUAGAUAUCGGGAGGAACACCAGUGGCGAAGGCGACUUCCUGGCCUGUUCUUGACGCUGAGGCGCGAAAGCUAGGGGAGCAAACGGG
Molecule: ribosomal RNA, 253 nt
Filed under: uncultured bacterium
Lineage: Bacteria
Description: partial 16S ribosomal RNA
Rfam family: Bacterial small subunit ribosomal RNA
Source: RNAcentral